AUGCUCCAGGUUGCAAUGAAGUCAACCGAUUAUGCAUUUGACGAUGCCCUGGUCAAAUCAUUAACUAGGGAACUACUAACUAAAUGCAAUGAGGCUAGCUCUGCACCUCCCUCCAUGACCCAGUUGUCAUCACACAAUGUACUUGGCAGUGACGAGGUAGGUAAUUCUGGGCUUCCAACAACUGGUAGAAAGGAAAAGAAGAGAGGAAGAUUCAGCGCUCUCUGUGGACUCAACCCAAAGAAGGUCAACAAGAAGAACCACUGCACUCCAACACCUUCCUAGAACCAGACCCCUGCCGUCAGUGAAACAGCAAUUGUCAAUGAUCAAGAAUCCUGCCGAACAGAGAGUGUAUGCUCCACCAAGAAGAAACCAAGGAAGCGUUCACUCAUUUCCAGGAUGUUUUCAGCUAUAGGCAAAGCCUUGUCCAGUCCCUUUACUUCCUGCUAUAAAAAGAAGAGCACCUAAUCUAUAUUUCAAAAUAAAUAUUUGAAAUGAAGAUAAUUGCAUUAA
Oncorhynchus nerka (sockeye salmon) is the source of this 510-nucleotide long non-coding RNA. RefSeq lists it as uncharacterized. Lineage: Eukaryota; Metazoa; Chordata; Actinopteri; Salmoniformes; Salmonidae. The transcript is spliced from 3 exons. The record is from RefSeq and is a predicted model, not a curated record.